GACGAACGCUGGCGGCGUGCUUAACACAUGCCAGUCGAACGGAAAGGCCCUGCUUUUGUGGGGUGCUCGAGUGGCGAACGGGUGAGUAACACGUGAGUAACCUGCCCUUGACUUUGGGAUAACUUCAGGAAACUGGGGCUAAUACCGGAUAGGAGCUCCUGCUGCAUGGUGGGGGUUGGAAAGUUUCGGCGGUUGGGGACGGACUCGCGGCUUAUCAGCUUGUUGGUGGGGUAGUGGCUUACCAAGGCUUUGACGGGUAGCCGGCCUGAGAGGGUGACCGGCCACAUUGGGACUGAGGUACGGCCCAGACUCCUACGGGAGGCAACAGUGGGGAAUAUUGCACAAUGGGCGGAAGCCUGAUGCAGCAACGCCGCGUGCGGGAUGACGGCCUUCGGGUUGUAAAACGCUUUCGCCUGUGACGAAGCGUGAGUGACGGUAAUGGGUAAAGAAGCACCGGCUAACUACGUG
This 468-nucleotide ribosomal RNA is filed under the name uncultured bacterium. RNAcentral describes it as "partial 16S ribosomal RNA". It matches the Rfam family "Bacterial small subunit ribosomal RNA", at positions 28 to 507 of the family's 1533-position model. The record is from RNAcentral.